GUAGCUCAAGUGAUUGAAGACAACAUGACUUCUUUUCCCAUUUAUACUUGGAAAAAGAGUUGUGAAACCUCAAAGCAUAAACCUUCAGUUCCAGAAUAUGGUAAGUAGUUCGAACUGUUGCUUAGGAGAAUCUCAUGUGCCAAGAUAUUUAAACUGAUGCGUGAAGACUAAGUUUUCCUUUCCCUCAGCAGAAAUCUUGGUGUUCCAGAUGUGCGAUUUCGUAGAUUAAAUGUACUAUUGGCUUUAAGGAAGUGAUUGUACAUAGUUUAAUUUUUUGUGAAAUGCAGCUUUUGUUAGCCAAGUACUGAGAAGUUUUUCUGAAAUCAUGAACACAGCUAAUUAACAACUACGUUAAAAAAGAAUUUGUGAUGCUUCAGAUGGCAUUAAGAUUGAAGCAGAAAUGUAAGUUGUAUCAUCGUUUCAUUAUUCUGUUCUUACUAUUUCUUACAUAGGCAAUUCUCUCAGAUCUGUCUUCAUAUGAAAAACCCAGAAAAUCAUCUCUCUGCUCAUAAGCAAAGCUGAGUAUUCUGCAACUUAAUUUUUAGGCCGAAUGAUAACACCCUUGAUAACAAGUCCUCUAUUCCAUUUCCCACUAUCAUAUUCAUACAUCGAAAACUCCAUGUCACCAGGUAUUUCCGGUGAUGCUCUAAACUCACCAACCGAAAUCUCUAUCCAUUCCUCUCUUGGGAUUUCCUUCAACUUAACUUCAUGCCAUUGUUUGCUACCAUCUGGAAGAGUGAGACUGACAUUCACUGGAACAUCCCAUCCAUCAGCUGAAGCUUUCAGCUUGACCACAAACGCAACUUCAUACAGAGUUCCUGGUGACAGCUUUGUAGUCUCAAAUUGUCCAUGCACUUCUAGCCAACAUUCAUUAAUCAUUUCAGCAGCAUCAAUGACGACACCACUGCAAUGAAACCUGAGUUAGGAUUGAGAGUACUGAUAGCAUUUUAUGAUAAUUAUUAAAUUAUUAUUAUUUUUUGUAUAUAUUGCGUUUAUCUGUUUCAACUUCAAUAGGACUGGAGAAAAUGAGAAAACCAAUAAGUUAUGCAUUGAAGGUUUUGGUACCUGGUUUCUUGCAGGGAGGGCCAGAGCCAGUUACGAUCGUCUUCAGCCCAAGAGAUCGAGAGAUCCCUUGCAUACACCAUAAAGCAGUUGUUGGACUUCUUGUCAACCCAAUACUUCUGCAAUAACAGAAUAAUGACAUAACCAAAGAUGGCUGGUUUCUAUCUAAGUUCACUUACAAGUUGCCCUUCUUUAAAUCAAAAUAAAAGCCCCAUAUAUUUUGAUUUGGAGCUGAAUUUCGGCACGAACUGGAAUAUCACAUUUCACACAACUAAAUCAUCUGAGCAUAGUGUUUGAAUUUCUGAUGCUGGGGUUACCUUUCUCUUUUGGUUUAAGGUUAUUCCAGCACGGAGCUGUUCAUGGAGGUUUUCCACUGAGGAUUUGUUGAUGGGUGAGUCAGCAUCUCUCAAAAUAGCUUCAUAGUUGGGUGGAAGCAGCGGUGGGGGAGGAGGCGGAGGUGGUGGGGCAGGAGGCGGAGGCGGUGGAGGAGGCGGCGGUGGUGGGGGAGGAGGCCGCGGUGGUGGGGAAGGAGGCCGCGGUGGUGGGGAAGGAGGCCGCGGUGGGGUCUCUGGGCCCAUACCCACCCCCCAUCUCUUCAAUUCACUUCUUCCAUCCAAUGCUUAGUUUUUACUUAUAUAGAUAGAAAAACAAGGCUUGGUUGGUCAUUUACAUUGGCAUGCAUAUAAACCUAUGAUUUUCAUAUCAUUGUGUACCUCACUAGGGCUCGUUUGGUACACCGUAUUAGACUCUGGAUAUGAGUAAAUAGUCUAUGUCAGGUGUUUGGUGUCAACUUGUAUUAUUUAAUUAUUCGACUAUUUUAUACGGGUUGGGCUUUUAAUACUUGCUUUACCUGACUAACUAAUACAACUCACACACCCCGGUUUAGAUAAUACACGCUUAAUUAUACGGUUAGGGAAAAAGAACACACGUUUUACGGAAAAAAUCAGACGCUCUUUUCAUCUUCUUCUCCCUAGGGUUGUUUUAUACAAUUUUCUCCACAGGUUAUUUUCUUCACUCUUCUCCAGGUAUCCAUCUCUCACUCUCUCUCUCUUUUUCAUACUCUCUCCAAUAUGUUUUAUAUAUUUCAAAUUUUUAGUGGAAAUUAGGUUAUGAAUUUUUUUUAUUGGCAUUUUUUUUAAUCGAAUGUUUUCUUUGUAUGUAAUAUAGUGAUUCGACGUUGUGGGAAUAUUUAGAUUGUUGGUAUUAAACAGAGUAUUGCCAGUUUUCGUCCAAAAACAAACAACUGUGCUAGUGUUGGUAGUUUAGUUGAAUACAUACAUACUUGACGACUAGGAGAGCAAAAUUACAAAAUUAAAAUUGUAUGAACCUGAAUUCUAGGAACUAUUUUUUUUUUCUUUGUCAAUUGCUAUUAGAAAAGCAAAAGAUGGACUUGUCUAUUAAAUGACCAAAUUAAGGCAUUACAGCUAAUUUUGGAGAAAGCAAGUGAUGAAAAAACAUUCCUGACAUUGGAUGGUGCUAUGAGAAAAGCAUUUGUUCUUCUCUUACUUGGGGCGAGGGAGUUGUGAUUCACUCUUUGAUGUAGUUUGGUUUAUGAACAACUUUCUCUUUUGCUCUUAUCACCUUCAAUAUGUGAUCACUUUGAAUUAUACAUUAUUUGGUACUGUUUUUAUUAACAUAUGCGAGUAUGUUGGAAUUUUUAUGAGAUACUACAAUUAUGAUAAUGGGUUAUAUGAAAAAAAAUCUUGGCAAAAACAAUUGAAAAACAAAUCUUGUCAUAUGAAUCGUACCAAAAAAAAAUUUGUGUCAUUUGAAUCUCUAUUUCCAUUAAAAUUAUCAAAGAUUUUUUUUAAUUUUUUAAUUUAUAAAUAGUAUGAUCUGAUUUUAUCUGAAACAUCAUCAAACACAGUAUAACUUAGUCAGAUUAUUUAUCCGGAACAGCACUAAACGCCUUAUAAUAUUAUGGAUAAAUAGUCAGUACUCUCCGGAACAGAUUAAUACUAUCCGACGGAAAUUAGUCAGUACAGUCCGACGUACCAAACGAGCCCUAAAGGUUUGGAUGGGGAUGAAAGUUUUAGCUUGUUACCUAAGAAAUAUGUCGUGUGAACUUUUUUUUUUUUUUCCUUAAUUAGUUGUCAUUUUCUCAUGCAUGCUGAUGUCAAGCAGGAAUUAGCAAGCAGUGGGUUGGAAAAUACUUUGGAAUAUCAAAAAAUGCCUUUAUUCCAUAUCAAAAAAGGAGGUCUUUUAAAUAAAAUUAUUUAAGGAAUCUCUCAAUAAAAGGCAAUAUAUAUAUAUAUAUAUAUAUUCCAUUCUGCAGGGAAAGGAAAAAAAAAAAAAGGACUUUUAUUCUAAGAUAUAAAUAUUCGUUUUUGUAAAGUAAUAUUUGUAAGUGGUCAUGAUAAUCUUGAUUUACUUGGGACAAUCGAUCAAAAGCUCCCUUUACUGGUUUGAACAUGUACAUUAUAUUUGAAGGCCUUUUCCUUCAUAUCCACUGGAAUUGAUAUUGAAGAAUAUUAUAUUGCUUGACACAGUAAACUUAAGAAGGAAGUUAAAUAAAUGAGAUUAUCCAUUUGUUGGCAGCUUGGUCAAUUGAGCCAUGUUGCUCAUCAUGGGCAGCAUCAGUUUUUUUUUUAUAAAUAAAACUGGUUUUUGGAAUGUUUGUACGUGUGUUGUGAAAUCUUGGGAAAAUUUGAGAAGGUUUCAACUUUCAGGUGCUGAGGGAGUCAGAUAUAUCAACUUGUUGUUAGAAUGUGGUUGUGGGAAUGAUAUUGGUGAUGAAAACCUGAGAAGCUUGGUAAGAACGUUGCCAAUGCCAUCAAAUAUUUCUCACCAAAUGAAAUGAAACUGAAAAUGGGCUAAUAGUGGUUGAACCAAAUUAAGCUAAGUGAUGAUGAUAUGUGAUGACAGCUGCUCCUGCUUAUGUCUUAAAUUACCAGCCAUUAAAAUUCGAAUUGGCCUGGUUCUAAUUGAAGCAGAAAUGGAAGUUGUAUCAUUGUUUCAUUAUUCUGUUCUUAUUAUUUCUUACAUAGGCAAUUCUCUCAGAUCUGUCUUCAUAUGAAAAACCCAGAAAAUCAUCUCUCUGCUCAUAAGCAAAGCUGAGUAUUCUGCAACUUAAUUUUUAGGCCGAAUGAUAACACCCUUGAUAACAAGUCCUCUAUUCCAUUUCCCACUAUCAUAUUCAUACAUCGAAAACUCCAUGUCCCCAGGUAUUUCCGGUGAUGCUCUAAACUCGCCAACCGAAAUAUCUAUCCAUUGCUCUCUUGGGAUUUCCUUCAACUUAACUUCAUGCCAUUGUUUGCUAUCAUCUGGAAGAGUGAGACUGACAUUCACUGGAACAUCCCAUCCUUCAGCUGAAGCCUUCAGCUUGACCACAAACGCAACUUCAUACAGAGUUCCUGGUGACAGCUUUGUAGUCUCAAAUUGUCCAUGCACUUCUAGCCAACAUUCAUUAAUCAUUUCAGCAGCAUCAAUGAAGACACCACUGCAAUGAAACCUGA
RNAcentral lists this long non-coding RNA (4517 nucleotides) under Prunus persica (peach). RNAcentral describes it as "long non-coding RNA (PPER_LNC004045)". Lineage: Eukaryota; Viridiplantae; Streptophyta; Magnoliopsida; Rosales; Rosaceae. The record is from RNAcentral.